Mustela erminea (ermine) is the source of this 717-nucleotide long non-coding RNA. RefSeq lists it as uncharacterized. NCBI's taxonomy places the organism in Eukaryota, Metazoa, Chordata, Mammalia, Carnivora, Mustelidae. The record is from RefSeq and is a predicted model, not a curated record. The transcript is spliced from 3 exons.
GGGAAGUAUUUGUCUUUUCUUUUUUUUUUUUUUAAACCAUUACUCAACAUAUGUCCUGCGUGUGGUAUGAUUUUUGAAAGGCUCAGAAGGCCUAGAAUUCUGUGCCCAUACCUAUGCCAUGCAGCAAACAGGACUGUCUUUGGAAGACAGCUGCAGAGGAAGGCCAUUUUCCCCUGGGAUUGGGAUCGUUUUGUCUAAAGGAGUUUCGGACGGAAGGUAUAGAUCUUAGUAAAUAAGGGAACGUCUGGUGGGAGGAACAGAAAGUACCAAAAAGAGGAGAUGAUAAGCAAGUUUUAAGUCAUCCCUACUUCUAUCUAUCAAAGAAACCACACCAAGGACUGGCCAUCAGACUUCACCUGCAAUACCUAAAGAUUUGGGUAAAUCCUCUCUUUCUGAGAUCUUCAAAAUAUCCUGAGUUUCCUGGGCUAUAAGGAAAUGACCUGCCUUGCACAUCUGGGAGAAGUCUUGAGCACUCAAAUUAAUGUUCCGUUUAACAAAUAUUUGUGAGCACCAACUCUGUACAAGGUAAACUAUUGGAUCCUAAGGCCCAGAAGAAGAAUAAGACAAAUCCUUGUUCACAAUGAGCUUGGUCAAUGUUGAUGAUUCCUGAAAGGUAACCUGUGGCAUGACUGCUCACAUCCUGAGUAGUCCACUACCCCAAAAUAAACUUAUAAACAAAUGUGAAGAGACUCUCCUCCUAGUCCCUACAGCAUUCCA